This is a non-coding RNA of Callithrix jacchus (white-tufted-ear marmoset), 62 nucleotides long. NCBI's taxonomy places the organism in Eukaryota, Metazoa, Chordata, Mammalia, Primates, Cebidae. The record is from Rfam.
UAAUGUUACAGCUCUUUUAGAAUGUAUCUAGCAGGCUUUCCAGUUUUUGCAGGAAAGCUCCU